This 467-nucleotide ribosomal RNA is filed under the name uncultured bacterium. RNAcentral's name for it is "partial 16S ribosomal RNA". It matches the Rfam family "Bacterial small subunit ribosomal RNA", at positions 28 to 506 of the family's 1533-position model. The record is from RNAcentral.
GACGAACGCUGGCGGCGUGCUUAACACAUGCAAGUCGAACGGAAAGGCCCUGCUUUUGUGGGGUGCUCGAGUGGCGAACGGGUGAGUAACACGUGAGUAACCUGCCCUUGACUUUGGGAUAACUUCAGGAAACUGGGGCUAAUACCGGAUAGGAGCUCCUGCUGCAUGGUGGGGGUUGGAAAGUUUCGGCGGUUGGGGAUGGACUCGCGGCUUAUCAGCUUGUUGGUGGGGUAGUGGCUUACCAAGGCUUUGACGGGUAGCCGGCCUGAGAGGGUGACCGGCCAAGUGGGGACUGGGUGAGGGCCGAACCCCCGAGGGGUGGCAGGGGGGGGGAAUGUGCCACAAGGGGCGGAGGCGUGAGGCGGAAGCGCCGCGUGCGGGUUGGGGGCCUUGGGGUUGUAAACCUCUUGCGCGGGUGACGAAGGGGGGGGGAGGGAAAGGGGUAAAGAAGCGCGGGCAAACUCGGG